CGAUAACGAAGAGGUAGAUGAGAAGCCUGACUACGGAGACGGGGGUGAGAAGGUGACGAAGCGUACUUCAUGAGCUGUAACCGAAAACUGACAUUUGGAAAGUUUGAGAGUCCAUCAAGUUUGCCAACACAACAGUGGUGGGCCUGAUAGCUGACGAGACAGGGAGCAGGUUGCAGUAGAGGGUCAAAAGAUUCAAGUUCUUUGGCAUACACAUCACAGAGGACCUGACAUGGACCAAUCACACAGACGGUGGUGAAGGCACAACAGCGCCUCUUCAACUUCAGGCAACUGAAAAAGCUUGGCAUGGGACCUCAGAUCCUCAAGAAGUUCUACAGCUGCACCAAUGAGCAUCUUGACCGACUACAUCACUGCCUGGUAGGGAGGGAAACUGCACUGCACACAACCGCAAGGCUCUACAGAGGGUGGUGAGGAUG
Non-coding RNA from Salmo salar (Atlantic salmon), 434 nucleotides. The record is from RefSeq and is a predicted model, not a curated record. NCBI's taxonomy places the organism in Eukaryota, Metazoa, Chordata, Actinopteri, Salmoniformes, Salmonidae.